Long non-coding RNA from Rhincodon typus (whale shark), 542 nucleotides. RefSeq lists it as uncharacterized. The transcript is spliced from 2 exons. NCBI's taxonomy places the organism in Eukaryota, Metazoa, Chordata, Chondrichthyes, Orectolobiformes, Rhincodontidae. The record is from RefSeq and is a predicted model, not a curated record.
UUGGCCUGCUGCGUUCAUCCAGCUCUACACCUUGUUAUCUCAGAUUCUCCAGCACCUGCAGUUCCUACUAUCUCUGGAUUACUAGUUCAGUAACAGAGCUACUGUUACCAUAACCCACAUAAAGAGAUAUGCAAGCUAAUUGGUCUAAUUCUUUAUUUAUCUCACUGAUAGCUAAAUAAAACAUUAUCACAAAUUCUAAUUGAAAUGUUUGAACAAAUUGUACUAUAUUUUGUUUUGCAUAGAUGGUGGGUGUAACAUAUAUCAGGAUCGGCGACCUACUGUUGCAAUGAAGUACACUGAUACAUCCAGGAUUGUCACAGAGAACAUUUAUACAGAAAUCAAGGAUACAGCAGGAAAAACACGUGACUCGGAAAGUUAUGGGAGUCUGCACAGUGUCCAUAGCCCUCAGAAAUCAGAGGAUGACCCCCAUCAGCUUCCAAAGCAUCAUGAUGAGCAAGAAAUGGGGAAACCCAGUCGGGAAAACACCAAAUCCAAUUUAUGUAUUUUAUUAUAAAUGUUCUAAAUAAAAACAAAAAAAAUCA